RNAcentral lists this non-coding RNA (139 nucleotides) under Protocruzia adhaerens. Lineage: Eukaryota; Ciliophora; Spirotrichea. The record is from RNAcentral.
GAAAAGAAGAAAGAAAAAAAACAACAACAAAACAAAUGAAAUAAAGAAAUACCAAGUGGCAAGAUAUUUCCGCUCAAACUGUUUUGUAUUGUAUAUAACUCCACCAUCGAUCUUUUAAACUGACUUUUCUGUCUCUCUC